AACGAACGCUGGCGGCAUGCUUAACACAUGCAAGUCGAACGCCUGGGUUUCGGCCUGGGAGUGGCGCACGGGUGAGUAGCGCGUGGGAACCUGCCCUUAUGUUCGGGACAACCUUGGGAAACUGAGGCUAAUACCGGAUACGCCCGAUGGCUUUGGCGGUCAUUGGGGAAAGAUUUAUCGCAGAAGGAGGGGCCCGCGUCGGAUUAGGUAGUUGGUGGGGUAACGGCCUACCAAGCCUGUGAUCCGUAGCUGGUCUGAGAGGAUGAUCAGCCACACU
RNAcentral lists this ribosomal RNA (277 nucleotides) under uncultured bacterium. Its description in RNAcentral is "partial 16S ribosomal RNA". It matches the Rfam family "Bacterial small subunit ribosomal RNA", at positions 29 to 314 of the family's 1533-position model. The record is from RNAcentral.